Molecule: long non-coding RNA, 3005 nt
Organism: Passer domesticus (house sparrow)
Lineage: Eukaryota; Metazoa; Chordata; Aves; Passeriformes; Passeridae
Exons: 6
Source: RefSeq, a predicted model, not a curated record
UUGGCCAAGUAUGAUUCCCCCUUGCUGACUACUCCCAAAGACCUUAUUUUCUUUUACUUGCUGUUUGAUGACCACCAGAAUGUUAUCUUCCAUCACCUUUCCAGGGAUGGAGGUGAGGCUGACUGCCCAGCAGUUUUCCUGGGUCCUCUUCUUGCUCAUUUUGAAGACAGGUGUGACAUUUGCUCCAGUCAAAAGGUGGUUGUUUUCUAAUACCAGAUUCCUGGGUCAACAGAAACAAACAGGUUUUUUUAAUCCAGCUGGUGCUUCUGUGCAUCUGGAGCUAUGGUGAUCCAUAGCUGCAUCCAGGAAAAAUCCCCAAACAUCUCCUCUACCACAUAUGAAAGACUGGACCCUCUCAUCCAGUCUGAGGUAUUUUCAAAUUUAAUUUUACCUUAUAAGCUGCUCACCCCAAACUUCCCUUGCUCUUCCUUCACUGGGCAACCUUUUAAAUCACAGAUGUUGAAAUGCUGACUCUCUUUAUCUUGCCCAUUAGGGCCAGUUGCCUUUGGGAGUUCUUAAUGGAGUGGGAUGACAGGGGAAAGGGAUAUGGCAAAACACUUCUACUCCAAGACUAGGAAAUAUGCAACUCCUGUUUUCCUGUGGAUCCAAGGAUUUGGGGAGUGCUUAGAACACAGCAAGAUUCUCUGGAUGAAUGGAUGAGUGUUUAAGCAGAUCUUGAUGUAAGAACGAACAGGAUGCAAUCUGAGGAGGAUGAAGCCCUGCACUCAUUCAGGAAUAGUCAUUAUCACCAUCCAUGGAGGAAUUUAACAGUGUGCCUCCAGGUGUGAAAAAAAUAGAAGCCUUGCUGACAAGCAGAGAACAAUGAGCUGAAAUAAAGAAAUAUUGAAACCUGGAAGAGCAAAAAGUUAAACAGAAAGGAAAAAAAACUACCAGGGCAUUAUGUGGAUGGAGAAAGCGGGAGAGAACUGCAAUGAACUACUCCCCCUCAGGAACAAACUUCCAUUAUUUGGGCAUGCCAAGGUGGAGGAAUUGUUUUUGUGUUUUAGCACUGUAAGACCUUGUCAUCUCCUCAGCAGCAAGACAGGGGAGCUGUGAGAUACUAACACAGGCCCAGCAGUUGCCAGUGACAAAACAGGCUUUUUUGAGCUCUGCUGCACGUUAAGAGCAACUCCCCUACACUGCAUGUGGGAAAGACUUGCCAGAGCAAGAGCACAUGUAGUGAGAGCUGCAAAAUCAAUGCUGAAUCCCUUCUCUAAUUACAAGUCAUGUGAGAAAUCCUCAGCUGGGAAUAUUGUGAAGAGCCUGUCAUCUUGUUAGCUGAACUAGUCAAGAUGCCAACCGUCUGCAAGUAUAAAGAAAAUUACAGACUUCAAGAAGUCCAGAGGAAGGACACUUCUUUUUCAAUGGAGUCACUGCAAACUUUAUAAAUGCCUUUGUGGCCUUUUAUCAUCAAUACAUAUGCCCAAGUAUCUCCUUGAAAAAUUUUGGCUUCCGUCUGCAACCUUUGUUUUUAAAGGUGAGCAGCAGCAGAAGGAAAUGCAAGCUAAAGCUGAAAGUCUGAGGGUGGUUACUUUCAAUAAAUGAAAGUUUUCUUAGAAUUUCCUCAUUGUGAGAUGCAAGGAACUGCCUUAAUGGUACUCUGAUUUAAUCUCUUGUAUAUUGUUUGGAUUUGUGUUCAACGGUAAAGGAGCCACAAGGGAGUCCUUUAGUUUUACCUGAAUGUGUUUUGCAUUUCAUGGGUUAACUGCAGCAAUUGUUUGAAUUUCUCUGGUACUUGCCUCGCUCUAAAAUAUCUACUUGGAAUCAAUCAUACAGCUGUGGUCUGGACAAGAUCCCUACAGUUGUCCAGUCCAACCAUCCACUCCAAACAAGACCACUGGUCAGUCCUGGCUUUGUCUUGCUGGGUCUUGGAAACCUUCAUGGCUGGAUCCUCCAUCACCUCUCCGUUACCUGUCCCAGGGCAGCACCACUGUCCUGGUAGGUCUGCUCUUCCUCUGCUUGAGUCCUUCUACUUUUUGGAACAAUCAUUAAUUGAUUAAAUAUUAUUCCAUAUGCUGAUUUUUCUUUCUCCCUCUGUUUUGUAGUUAGAUGAGUACAAUCCUUCAAGGUUCCCUUCAGCAUUGUCACUGCUGUGGCCUUAAGUGGAUGGCAUGGGUAGAUCUACUGGGUAGGACACCUUGGUUAUUUCCUUUUCAAACACAAGUGGAUCCUUGAUACUCAGAUAUCAGAUUUCUAAACUCAUAAAUAUGAACUAAACUAUAGUACUUAUGUGCCUGAAGAGCAAAACUUAUCAAGUCUUCUCUAAAACUAUUUAUUUUUUGAAUUUAUAAUGGUCCAGUGUAAAAUGCCAGGGGUUUGCAUCUGCAAACUCAGUUUUGCUCCCUCUCAAAUUAAUGCUGAUACUGGUAGUUACUUUGUGCAUGUGUCCCAUCAUAUAUCACAACAUUUCAAUAAUGUGUACAUAUCUGACUUACUGAUUCAUAGAUGUCAUGUCACUUUCCAUCACGACACAAUGAAAUUAUCCAUUCCCUAUUGUUUAUAUGUCAUUGAAGAUUAAUAUAUUCUAGAAAAGAUGCAGAUGCCUCUGCCUACCUUUGAAAUGCAAAAAGAAUUGACAGGCACUUGAUUUCAAGUGUUUUUGUUGAGUGUUUUGUCAUGUCAAUGCAAGCAACCUCCCUUGCUGCUUCUUAAAUUUAAGUAUUACUUUUGCAUUUUUGUCAGCCUAUUUUUGGUGGCAUUGAAAUAAACUUGUAAUUAUUGGUGAAAAGGAACUUCUACUGAACUGUGCUAAAAAAGUCUUCAGACUUCUAUGCUACCUGGAAAGAGUACAGAGAAUUCUUGAAUAAUAAGUUUCAAAUUCAAGACCCUUCAUCUGGAAAUACCUGUUUAUAGAUGCCUAAAUCUUGACAUCUGAACUUGUGAAUACAUCUCCCCCUCAGGCCACGUGUAUGUUCUAGUUCCUGUGCUACCUCUUCCAGUCCCAUUGAUACAACUCAGCUCUUUGUUGUGUCAAAAAACAGUGAGUACCAAAUUUCUAGAUUAAA